GACGAACGCUGGCGGCGUGCCUAAUACAUGCAAGUAGAACGCUGAAGAGAGGAGCUUGCUCUUCUUGGAUGAGUUGCGAACGGGUGAGUAACGCGUAGGUAACCUGCCUUGUAGCGGGGGAUAACUAUUGGAAACGAUAGCUAAUACCGCAUAACAAUGGAUGACACAUGUCAUUUAUUUGAAAGGGGCAAUUGCUCCACUACAAGAUGGACCUGCGUUGUAUUAGCUAGUAGGUGAGGUAACGGCUCACCUAGGCGACGAUACAUAGCCGACCUGAGAGGGGGAUCGGCCACACUGGGACUGAGACACGGCCCAGACUCCUACGGGAGGCAGCAGUAGGGAAUCUUCGGCAAUGGGGGCAACCCUGACCGAGCAACGCCGCGUGAGUGAAGAAGGUUUUCGGAUCGUAAAGCUCGGUUGUAAGUCAAGAACGAGUGUGAGAGUGGAAAGUUCACACUGUGACGGUAGCUUACCAGAAAGGGACGGCUAACUACGUG
This 497-nucleotide ribosomal RNA is filed under the name uncultured bacterium. RNAcentral's name for it is "partial 16S ribosomal RNA". It matches the Rfam family "Bacterial small subunit ribosomal RNA", at positions 28 to 507 of the family's 1533-position model. The record is from RNAcentral.